RNA transcript from Oncorhynchus tshawytscha (Chinook salmon), 3147 nucleotides. It is a transcript of the gene named kelch-like protein 12, with no coding region annotated. NCBI's taxonomy places the organism in Eukaryota, Metazoa, Chordata, Actinopteri, Salmoniformes, Salmonidae. The record is from RefSeq and is a predicted model, not a curated record. The transcript has 13 exons.
UCAAAGGCUACACUGACUGCGGAAGGCUUUCCAGCAAGAUUUGUUGCGACAUCCUUGAAAUUCAUAUUUUGUUAGUCAUUUCUUUGAAAAACUCAUUCGCAAUAGCCCACACUAUUGCAGGAAAGCACACGCUACCAUGGAUCACAUUUGGCAUCCUCAACUGUGACUUGGACGUCUGCCAUCAUUGCUUUGGAGUUAGCUAGUUAGCUUGCUAAUGCUAUCUAGCUAGGUGAUAUCGCAGCACGUUGAGAUUCUUGAAACUUGAGGCCCUCUUGUCAAGUACAGUACCAUGGCUCCCAAAGACAUCAUGACCAACUCCCAUGCCAAAUCCAUCCUCAAUGCCAUGAACGCACUUCGUAAGAGCAACACACUCUGUGACAUCACUUUGAGAGUGGAGAAUACUGACUUUCCUGUGCACCGCAUUGUCCUGGCAGCCUGCAGUGACUACUUCUGCGCCAUGUUCACCAGCGAGCUGUCAGAGAAAGGGAAAUCCUUCGUAGACAUUCAGGGGUUGACUGCGUCCACCAUGGAGAUCCUGCUGGACUUUGUUUACACAGAGACAGUCCUGGUCACAGUGGAGAAUGUCCAGGAACUGCUUCCUGCUGCCUGUCUGCUGCAGCUCAAAGGAGUGAAAAGAGCAUGUUGUGACUUUCUGGAUAGUCAGCUUGAUCCCACAAACUGCCUGGGCAUUCGGGACUUUGCUGAGACCCACAAUUGCCUUGACCUGAUGCAGGCCGCUGAGCUCUUCUCUCAGAAGCACUUCCCUGAGGUUGUUCAACAUGAGGAGUUUAUGCUGCUCUGCCAGAACGAGGUUGAAAAACUAGUUAAAUGCGAUGAAAUCCAGGUGGACUCAGAGGAGCCUGUAUUCGAGGCAGUGUUGAAUUGGGUUAAACACAAUAGGAAAGAGAGGGAGACGUAUUUAUCGGAGAUGCUGGAGCAUGUGCGGAUGCCUUUGCUCACUCCGCGCUAUAUCACAGACGUUAUCGACUCAGAGCCCCUCAUUCGAUGCAGUCUUCCCUGUCGAGACCUUGUGGAUGAGGCCAAGAAAUUUCACCUUAGACCUGAGCUGAGGAGUGAGAUGCAGGGGCCACGCACCCAAGCCAGAUUAGGUGCCAAGGAGGUCCUGCUCGUUAUUGGAGGAUUCGGCAGUCAACAAUCCCCUAUAGAUAUUGUUGAGAAGUAUGAUCCUAAAACUCAGGAGUGGAGCUUUUUACCUAACAUUGCUCGGAAAAGGCGUUACGUGGCUACCGUGUCCCUCAAUGACCGCGUGUAUGUGAUUGGCGGCUACGAUGGUCGAUCGCGGCUUAGCUCGGUGGAGUGCUUGGACUACACGGCCGACGAGGAUGGUAUCUGGUACAACGUCGCCACUAUGAAUGUACGGCGGGGCCUUGCCGGGGCGACAACACUCGGAGAUAUGAUCUAUGUUGCUGGAGGCUUUGAUGGUAGUCGCCGUCACACCAGCAUGGAACGAUAUGACCCCAAUAUUGACCAGUGGAGUAUGUUGGGGGACAUGCAGACAGCCAGGGAAGGGGCUGGCCUAGUGGUGGCUAGUGGACUCAUAUACUGUCUAGGUGGGUACGACGGAUUGAACAUCCUCAAUUCAGUGGAACGGUAUGACCCUCACACAGGACACUGGACUAAUGUUACCCCCAUGGCUACCAAACGCUCAGGGGCCAGUGUAGCCUUGCUCAACGACCACAUCUAUGUGGUGGGAGGCUUCGAUGGAACAGCGCAUCUUGACUCGGUGGAGUUUUACAACAUUAGGACAGACUAUUGGACCACGGUAGCCAGUAUGACCACUCCCCGCUGCUACGUGGGAGCUACUGUCCUCCGGGGACGACUCUACGCCAUAGCUGGACAGAUGAGAAACAAAUGGGGGAGACAGGUGAAGAGGAGAUACAGAGUCAAGGGAGGACACAGGGAUUGAACCCCGGUCUCCGGCUGAGAGUUGUACAUGUGCAUAGAGCCAGGAGUGUUACCAUCCGACCACGACUCUGUACCCAACUUCAGUAUUGACAGAGAUAUAGAUGCAUUUUGGUUGGGAUUAUUCAUAUAAAUUAUGUAUGAUGGAAACUCCCUUCUGAGCAGUAUCGAGUGUUACGACCCAGUGAUUGACAACUGGGAGGUGGUCACCUCCAUGGCCACACAGCGCUGCGAUGCAGGAGUGUGUGUCCUGCGAGAAAAGUGAGAUUUACCUCAGAAAAGUCGGAUGAAGCGGAAGAGGGCAGGCAGCUAGUCCUGAACCUGAAUUUGAUAUUUAUGUGCCACUACUAUGGAGUGACACAGGGAUCACUCACUUGCAGCCAGUGUGCUAUAUGCCCUCUCUGAAGUCUCUUGAUUGAUUAUUUAUCAGACUUUCUCAUCUGAGUUUGGUUACUUCUAUGGGAAAACCCUUGGCAUUCAAUGGAUAAGGGACAGGGGGUGUAUAGCAGAGAGUUAUUUCAGUCUCCUCAUCAACAGUUGUGGCAUCCAAGAAGACAUCCAUCCCAACCCACUCGAUCGCAUGACACUCUUUUAGUGGUUCCCGUUGUAGUGGUUACCUGUGAGGUACAUUUUUGACUAAUCUUUUAAAGUGCAAUAUAUUUCUCUACUUCUGUUAUGAACCAUGGAGCAGAAGAAACACAAGAGACUCCAGUUUGCUGCUGCUAUAUGCCUUAUGCCCCUGUGGCCCACAUUGAACCUAACAACCAUGAUGCCUCAUUAGGACUGUGAUGAUUGUUGUCAUACCAUCAAGUAUGAUGAUUAUUUAGCUUUUGCCAGGUUAUCAAUUAGAAAACCCUUUGUAGAUUUUGUUAUUAUGUAUAAAGUGCUUUUAGAAACAAAUCACUUUUUUGAAUAAUUGGUAUUUGCCUGACACAGUCAUUAUUUUCAAUGUAUCAAAGACAUUUUGAAAUGAAUUACAUUUUAGGGAAAGCGUUUCAUAAUCGCACAUGAUUCCUUGCUCUUUUGCUGUUCUGUCAUCUUGUCAAAAUCACUUUGUCCCCAGCGACAGACUGAAGAACACUGCUAAUAAAGCAAAAGAGCAAAAAGUAUUUUUUUGAUGUGUGUAUGGUGCAUGCAUUUGUCCACAGUGGAUUUGUUUGGACAAAAAAAAAACUGAUGUCUUUUGUUGUUACUUGAAAAGUGAAUAAACAUUGUGAUAAUUUA